Molecule: transfer RNA, 70 nt
Filed under: Crassadoma gigantea
Lineage: Eukaryota; Metazoa; Mollusca; Bivalvia; Pectinida; Pectinidae
Description: tRNA-Gln
Source: RNAcentral
UGCGGGGUGGUGUAUUGGGCACGCGGGUCUUUGGAGCCUAAGGAGAGAGAGUAGGAGCUCUUCCCCGUAA